UGGGGAAUGUCAAGUCAGCGGUAAAAUUUCGGGGCUCAACCCCGUCGUGCCGUUGAAACUGGCGUUCUUGAGUGAGCGAGAAGUAUGCGGAAUGCGUGGUGUAGCGGUGAAAUGCGUAGAUAUUAGGAGGAACACCAGUGGCGAAGGCGGCUUACUGGACUGUAACUGACGCUCAUGCACGUAAGCGUGGGUAUCGAACAGG
Molecule: ribosomal RNA, 202 nt
Filed under: uncultured bacterium
Lineage: Bacteria
Description: partial 16S ribosomal RNA
Rfam family: Bacterial small subunit ribosomal RNA
Source: RNAcentral